Molecule: long non-coding RNA, 303 nt
Filed under: Phoenix dactylifera (date palm)
Lineage: Eukaryota; Viridiplantae; Streptophyta; Magnoliopsida; Arecales; Arecaceae
Description: long non-coding RNA (PDAC_LNC002213)
Source: RNAcentral
AUAUGGCAUAGUUAGGCAUCCCCUACUAUUUGUAAUUUUAUAUGCCAAUCCUCAUAAUGCGGUUUAAAUUCAGCUUUUUUUUAAUCAUAUGGAAUUCAGCUUGUUUUCCAAGUAGCAAACAUGAACAAGCUUUCUGUAAAAAAGAAUCAAAAGAGAGAGAGAGAGAGAAAGAACAAGCUGGUCAUUUGGCCAUAGUUCAAGAUAUUUGCAGCAGCUUCAUUCAUUUGCAAUUCUAACCUUGUGGGCAACUAUAACCACUUGAACAUGUAGCCUUCAGCAUUUCUUGUGGACAUAUUCUUGUUU